AAGUCGUAACAAGGUUUCCGUAGGUGAACCUGCGGAAGGAUCAUCAACAAAUCCAAACCAAAAAAACCAAACACCUGUGUGAACAGUCUAAAAGAUAUUUUAUUACUAUUUUUUGAAUUUUCUCGGAAAGGAAAAAAAUUGUAAAUAAGGUAUCUUUUAAUUUUUCAAAACCCCUUUAUUUUUUCUUUUUUUGUGUGGUGAUGAAUCCUUUGUAGUUUUCUUUUAUUUUUAUAUUUUUUCUUCUUUCGAGAAGGGGAAAGAAAAAAACAAAAGAAAAAAACAUAAAUUUCAUUAUUUAAAAAAAACAACUUUUAACAAUGGAUCUCUUGGUUCUC
RNAcentral lists this unclassified non-coding RNA (335 nucleotides) under fungal sp. RNAcentral describes it as "partial internal transcribed spacer region". The stretch from base 1 to 46 matches the Rfam family "Eukaryotic small subunit ribosomal RNA", at positions 1786 to 1831 of the family's 1831-position model. The record is from RNAcentral. Lineage: Eukaryota; Fungi.